RNAcentral lists this long non-coding RNA (1279 nucleotides) under Homo sapiens (human). RNAcentral's name for it is "HSALNT0203536". Lineage: Eukaryota; Metazoa; Chordata; Mammalia; Primates; Hominidae. The record is from RNAcentral.
GCCCAUCUGUAAAUCUGAGCUGAAAUUUUAAAAGCACACAUCAGAGGAAGGGGCCAGACCUACUGGAGCAGGGUUUUUUGCAAGAAACGCAGGGAGACAAAGGAGAAGCAGCAUUUAGGCCCCCUUUGCCCAGUAUAUUCUAGGUUAGCACCAGAAAUAUAUAUGGGUCAGAGCCAACCUUAGGCAACAGGGUCCUUAUAUUAUUUGAUUAAGGAAGUUUUGCCCUGCCCCUUGCAUGAUCAAGAGCUGGUGUAUGGAAACAAGCCAGGCAAGAACCUUACCUGGAUGCCAUCCUGCCAGCUCAGCAUUUGGGUUUGGGGAAGAGGCUAGCCUUUCCCCUGGCUUGAUCAGAUGCCUGGGAUUCUAACUGUGUGUUCACAGUUGUGGGGAGAGGCAAGCUAUUGACAGGAGUCACAUAUUUGUUCGUGAUUGUUGUCAGCAAUCCUGCCUGGCAUGAUGGAGACAGAGGGCUGGAUUCUAAGCCUUGCCUUUGAAAAGCAAAAGAUAUUUGCCAAUGAACAAUAACCUGGAUGCUCAAAGGAUGAUAACCCUGAGGUUGAGGGAUACCAAGUACCUUGUCCACAAUUCAGCAACAAUGGGACAGGCCUUGAGGAGAAGAUGAUGAAGUAAAUAAUGGAACCACAAGAGAGUCGGAAACACACACUCUGCGCCACUAUGGGUGGAGCAGCUUAACUUAGACAAGCAAGUUAGAAAUCAUCUAUGGCCUUUGGAGUGCAGAAUGAGAAGCAGAUCGGAAAUGACUGGAUAUGGAUGCAUUGAGAACAUUUAUGCAUUUCUUGGGUUUUGUUAAACAAGUGUAUGUUACGUGUCUAUUGCUUUGGGAAGAAAAUUAGGAAGAAUGGAUUUUCUCGGUAAAUUCCCUGCAGCACCUAACACAUUUUAGUAGACAGGCACUCAAUACAUGUUUGAGACUAAUUUACUCUAAAGAUCGAAAUAUGAUAUUGACUGAAUGGUCAAAUUAAAUAUAUAAUUAAAUAUCCAGCCAAUUUAAAGUUACACCAAGUAAAUCAAGGUAUGCAAGUCCCAAAAACUUCAUAAGAAUUAUAGAAUUAUGAUAAAGACAUACAAUUUUAUCAAUUAAAAAACUUUUUAAAGAAUUUCAGAUCAACAUUUGAUAGGCUAAGACAUUCUUUAUUUUCAUUAAAAUACUGAAGAAAAUUUAAUUAAUUUUUUAAAUAAAUGUGAAAUUAAAUGUUUACUUUUCAAAACUUGUCAUUAUUCACUAAAGAAAAUUAAUUGUGUCAUUAUUUCUCAUUAG